AAACCAAGAUUAAAUUGAUUUACCUUUUACACUUCGUUUCCAAUAUCAACAGAUUCAUGUUUUGUGGAAGAAGUGGAUAAGAAGAGAGGUGGUAGGUAGGAUAGAAGAAGAGAGUUAUCAGAAAGAAAAGAAAGAAAGGGAAAAAGAGAGAAAGAGGAAAAGAGAAGAAGGAAGAAAGGAAGAAGAAAAGGGAAAGAAGAAGGAAGCCAUGGAAGCACCAUCAUCUCAUCUUCAUCAUCACCAACUUCAUCUUCUUCUUCUACUAGGUGAGUUCUUAGCUAGUAUAGCAUUUGGGGGAAGAAACUUUAUAAAUUUGGGGGUUAGG
Molecule: long non-coding RNA, 325 nt
Filed under: Lathyrus oleraceus (garden pea)
Lineage: Eukaryota; Viridiplantae; Streptophyta; Magnoliopsida; Fabales; Fabaceae
Description: Pisum sativum (pea) long non-coding RNA (PSAT_LNC033893)
Source: RNAcentral